GGUUGCAGGAGGGGACCAAUCAGAGGUACCUCCCAUUUUUCAUCUGCAGCCCAAUGCAAAGUAAUGACAUGGAUCUGGAGAGAUUCUCUUAGGAGAGAAUCUGGCUAAGUGUCUAGCAGGAUGAUUGAUUAACAAGAUGUUUUGUUUUCAUCAUCUCAGAGAUAAGUACAACUAUUCUGUCAUCUAAUCUGCUAACUCCUACAUUAUCAAUACGCUGUAUUGAGGUAUAAUUGAUAUGCCAAAUAACUGGACACAUUCAACUUGUGCAAUUUGAUGAGUUUGGAGAUACACAUACAUCUGUGAAACCAUCACCAAAAUCAAGAUGCUGGUGCCUGCAGUGGAGGCUGCUUGAAAUACAUCUGGUCCAGUCACAGCCUUGAUUGGGGCCAGUGCCUGUGCCAGCACCUGGAGCUGCCUGCCCCACCACAGCAGCCAGCGUGCCUGGCUGUGCA
Molecule: long non-coding RNA, 452 nt
Filed under: Homo sapiens (human)
Lineage: Eukaryota; Metazoa; Chordata; Mammalia; Primates; Hominidae
Description: non-protein coding lnc-FAT3-5:8
Source: RNAcentral